GACCUUUCUCAAAGAGCCUUUCCCAGGAUGCCUUGCAGGAAGGUGUAGCACCUGUGAGUAGCCAGCCUGGAGCUACCUGGAGGACCGGAUUUGGGUGUGAAUGGGUAAGGAUGCACUGUGGCUUGCUGGUCUGUUUCUUGGGGUUUUCAUAGACUCCCAGUAGCUAUGUAUUGGAAAGAUGAUUGGCCUUCACUCUAAAACAACAUGCUGGGAAACAUAUAUUGUCUACUCAGGGUCUCACAUGGUAUUGGGGAUGUUUAAUUCCCUUUGGCUUUGCCCAGAAAAUGGGAUUUUCCACUCAUUCCGAGGAAACUGGUGCCAAGGAGGCAUCUGCUCAAGUUCACCUGGUAAAUCCAAGUCUGCCUGAUAUCACAGCUGUGCUGUUUCCAUGAUUUUUGAUUUGUCCUUCAUUCUCAUGCUUUCUACAGAUGUUGCCCAGGAGGAGUUCCUCAGGACUUCUUUUUCUUGAUAAGGUAAGUUUUUGGAAAAGUAAGAAUGUGUGCAUCAUCUUUAUGACUUAAGAGAUUCCUCUGGGGUAUGUUUACCUAUUACUCUGCAAAUUUUUCUAGAAAAAUGAAUUACCUUAAAGUUACAUGAAAUUAGGAUCAGUUUUUGCCCAUGUAAAAUUUUUUCUUAGUCUUCUCAUUUUUUCCCCUCAUAAUGAUAUCAUAUGUAGGGAUCGGAGCCCGCCUGUGUGAUUUGAGGAAUAGUAGAGGUUGAUCACUUAAUGGAUUGCCAUAAUUCCUGGACAGUUUAAUCAAGGCAUUCUAUAUCUCUGUUAAUGCUGAUGUAUUGCAUUGAAGGUGCAUCUGUGUCAUAGUUAAAUUAAUUUAUUGGGCAGGGUUACCAGCUAAUCAUUGAGAGAAUGGAUUACUAGACAGAUGAGUUUCAAUUAAAUAGAGAUAUGCUAUCAAAAAUGGUAGCCAUGGCCACAUAUGACAGUCAAGCACCUGAAAUAUGGAUAAUUUGAAUUGAGAUGUGCUAUAGUUGUAAAUCACACAUUGGAUCUUUAUAACAACAACACACAAGAAUGUGAAAUAUUUCAUUAAAUGUUUUUGUAUUGAUUACAUGUUGAAAUGACAAAGUUUUGGAUAUGCUAAGUUGAAUAGAGAUAUUAUUAAAAACUGAUUUUACCUGUUUCUUUUUACUUCAACGUGGCUAUUAUAAAAUUUCAAAUUAUGUGUGGUUCACAUUUGGGCUUGCGUUAUGUUUCUAUUGGGCUAUGCUAUACUAAAUAUGGAGAGUGGCCAGCCCUUGAAGAACUGAUGUUUAUGAAGGGGAGCAUGGUAUAACCCAGUAAGGGAGUAGGGAAGCAAAAAAAAACUGUAACAAAGAAGUGUCAGAAAUUUGUCCUUUUUCACAUUUUGCUCCGAGUACAACUUAGUCCAAGAGACAAAAGGUAACUUACCUCGCCCAAGCUACCACUGUUGCAAAUGCAACCUGGUAGUGGGAUAUAUGCCUAUGUAUUUUCCCUCUAGAUCUGCAGUAAUGGUAACUCAGCCACCAGCAGAAUCUAGCUGACACCCAGUUGAUGGUUGACCAGAAAUCCCAUACCUUUCUGCCGGCCGCCAUGGUACCCUGGAGCUGAAAAUGGGUGUUGAGAACACAGUCUCUCAGGAGGCUCUGAGAAGGGCUUGAGUGAAAUGGGUUUGCUGUGAUGUGACAGAUGGGCUCUGAGCGGCUGAGUCAAGACUGGGAAGCUCAGGCCUACCUGAUACUGGUACAUCUGGAUCCGCCCUUGAGGUCAGGCUUAGUGAUGGCCUGGUCGUGAUAGGCCUGCUUGGAAUGGGUUUAAAUAUUGGCUCUGGGGUGCCUGGGUGGCUCAGCUGGUUAAGCGUCUGACUCUUGGUCUUGGCUCAGGUGGUGAUCUCAUGGUUUGUGGGAUCAAGCUCCGCCUUGGACUCUGUGUUGACAGCAUGGAGCCUGCUUGGGAUUCUCUGUUUCCCUUUCUCUCUUCCCCUCCCCCACUUGUGUUCUCCCUCUCUCUCUUUCUCUCAAAAUGAAUAAAU
This 2009-nucleotide long non-coding RNA is filed under the name Lynx pardinus (Iberian lynx). Lineage: Eukaryota; Metazoa; Chordata; Mammalia; Carnivora; Felidae. The record is from RNAcentral.